GAGACGGGACCCUCUGCUUUGUCCUCCUGCUGUGCUGCUGGCAAGAAGUGAAGACCUGGCCAAUAAGAAUGAAUUCAGGUUCAAGUUCUGGACUGCCGUCAAGUUAGUCAAGUUUUAAAAAUAUGGAUGACGAUAUGACCACAGUAUUUGGGCUCUGCAGGUGAUGCUAAAGUACAGCCGGCUGAGAACUGCUGCCCUGGGCCAGGGCCGUCCAAUAGAAACACAGCAUGAGCCGAAGAUGUGCUUUUCAUUGUCUAGUGGCCACAUUAAAAAGAUGCAGA
RNAcentral lists this long non-coding RNA (281 nucleotides) under Homo sapiens (human). Its description in RNAcentral is "non-protein coding lnc-ANKRD10-1:2". Lineage: Eukaryota; Metazoa; Chordata; Mammalia; Primates; Hominidae. The record is from RNAcentral.